UUGCCCAAUGAUUAUAGCAAGACGCGUUAUUAUGAGGACUAAUGCUGGAACUCCUUCUCCUCUUUUGUCCCUUUCUCUUUCACCUUACCCCUUUCAUUUUCCCUAGGGUAUCCAGCGUCCUAUGAGCAAGACUGAGAUAUGAGGGCAA
Small nucleolar RNA from Pogoniulus pusillus (Red-fronted tinkerbird), 148 nucleotides. RefSeq annotates it as small nucleolar RNA SNORD97. The record is from RefSeq and is a predicted model, not a curated record. NCBI's taxonomy places the organism in Eukaryota, Metazoa, Chordata, Aves, Piciformes, Lybiidae. The transcript has a single exon.